Molecule: ribosomal RNA, 468 nt
Filed under: uncultured bacterium
Lineage: Bacteria
Description: partial 16S ribosomal RNA
Rfam family: Bacterial small subunit ribosomal RNA
Source: RNAcentral
GACGAACGCUGGCGGCGUGCUUAACACAUGCAAGUCGAACGGAAAGGCCCUGCUUUUGUGGGGUGCUCGAGUGGCGAACGGGUGAGUAACACGUGAGUAACCUGCCCUUGACUUUGGGAUAACUUCAGGAAACUGGGGCUAUUACCGGCUAGGAGCUCCUGCUGCUUGGUGGGGGUUGGAUAGUUUCGGCGGUUGGGGAUGGACUCGCGGCUUAUCAGCUUGUUGGUUGGGUAGUGGCUUACCAAGGCUUUGACGGGUAGCCGGCCUGAGAGGGUGACCGGCCACAUUGGGACUGAGAUACGGCCCAGACUCCUACGGGAGGCAGCAGUGGGGAAUAUUGCACAAGGGGCGGAAGCCUGAUGCAGCAACGCCGCGUGCGGGAUGACGGCAUGCGGGUUGUAAACCGCUGUCGCCUGUGACGAAGCGUGAGUGACGGUAAUGGGUAAAGAAGCACCGGCUAACUACGUG